AUCGCUUCUUGGCCUUUUGGCUAAGAUCAAGUGUAGUAUCUGUUCUUAUCAGUUGCCAGAGGAGGUGCUGUGCUGCUCCAAUUGGGGAGGGCUAUGCAAAUCCUUUGGCUUGAUGGUAUCUGGAUGGUCUGUUUCAGCAGGGUUCGAAACCUCAAGUUUCUUGGAAUUUUAAGAGGCUAGUGCUC
Molecule: small nuclear RNA, 185 nt
Organism: Rana temporaria (common frog)
Lineage: Eukaryota; Metazoa; Chordata; Amphibia; Anura; Ranidae
Product: U2 spliceosomal RNA
Exons: 1
Source: RefSeq, a predicted model, not a curated record